This 599-nucleotide ribosomal RNA is filed under the name Hastodontia hastata. RNAcentral describes it as "partial 28S ribosomal RNA". It matches the Rfam family "Eukaryotic large subunit ribosomal RNA", at positions 56 to 639 of the family's 3401-position model. Lineage: Eukaryota; Fungi; Basidiomycota; Agaricomycetes; Hymenochaetales; Hymenochaetaceae. The record is from RNAcentral.
GAACUCACCAGGGUUCCCCUAGUAACUGCGAGUGAAGCGGGAAGAGCUCAAAUUUAAAAUCUGGCGGUUUUGCCGUCCGAGUUGUAAUCUGGAGAAGCGUUUUCCGCGUCGGACCGUGUACAAGUCUCUUGGAACAGAGCGUCAUAGAGGGUGAGAAUCCCGUCCAUGACACGGACCGCCGAUGCUUUGUGAUACGCUCUCGAAGAGUCGAGUUGUUUGGGAAUGCAGCUCAAAAUGGGUGGUAAAUUCCAUCUAAAGCUAAAUAUUGGCGAGAGACCGAUAGCGAACAAGUACCGUGAGGGAAAGAUGAAAAGCACUUUGGAAAGAGAGUUAAACAGUACGUGAAAUUGUUGAAAGGGAAACGCUUGGAGUCAGUCGCGUCGUCCGGGACUCAGCCUUGCUCUUUUGCUUGGUGUACUUCCCGGUAGACGGGUCAACAUCGAUUUUGGCCGGCGGAUAAAGGGGAAGGGAAUGUGGCACCUUCGGGUGUGUUAUAGCCCUCUUCCGCAUACGCUGGCCGGGAUCGAGGAUCGCAGCACGCCUUCAUGGCCGGGGGGUUCGCCCUCACGUAACGUGCUUAGGAUGUUGGCAUAAUGCUA